GACGAACGCUGGCGGCGUGCUUAACACAUGCAAGUCGAGCGAGGCCCCUCCUUCGGGAGGGUGUCCUAGCGGCGAACGGGUGAGUAACACGUGGGCAGCCUGCCCUCAGCUCUGGGAUAACUCCGGGAAACCGGGGCUAAUACCGGAUACGACCUCCACGGGCAUCUGCGGAGGUGGAAAGUUUUUCGGCUGAGGAUGGGCCCGCGGCCUAUCAGCUAGUUGGUGGGGUAGUGGCCCACCAAGGCGACGACGGGUAGCCGGCCUGAGAGGGCGACCGGCCACACUGGGACUGAGACACGGCCCAGACUCCUACGGGAGGCAGCAGUGGGGAAUAUUGCGCAAUGGGCGAAAGCCUGACGCAGCGACGCCGCGUGAGGGACGAAGGCCUUCGGGUUGUAAACCUCUUUCAGCAGGGACGAAGCGAAAGUGACGGUACCUGCAGAAGAAGCACCGGCCAACUACGUG
This 465-nucleotide ribosomal RNA is filed under the name uncultured bacterium. Its description in RNAcentral is "partial 16S ribosomal RNA". It matches the Rfam family "Bacterial small subunit ribosomal RNA", at positions 28 to 507 of the family's 1533-position model. The record is from RNAcentral.